Molecule: long non-coding RNA, 658 nt
Organism: Artibeus jamaicensis (Jamaican fruit-eating bat)
Lineage: Eukaryota; Metazoa; Chordata; Mammalia; Chiroptera; Phyllostomidae
Exons: 4
Source: RefSeq, a predicted model, not a curated record
GUUAAUUCCUGGGCUGGCUCCCUCUCUGCAGGGUUGCUGUGUGCUGUCUGCCCCUCAAGGACCCAAGGCCUAGCUCCUGGCAGGCUCUCACGUCGUAGGCCUCUCUCUCCUUGUUCUGGGCCCCAAUUCACCACCCAUCCUGUACCUGUCAUCUGAACUGACACCCAUCUGGACCAUUAGGUCAGAGAGGCCCAUUAUUCAGAAACGGAUCAAGUCUCUCCAAAACCGCUGUCUCCUUCUCUGCAUCGUGAGGGAGUGGAGGAGCGCAGGGACCGGCAGCGACACCAUCCCUCUGCAUAAGAGGUUCCGUUUCCGUCCAGUGUCCUUCUCGGACCUGCAAGCCAGGCGGCCAGGGGUGUGUGGUGGGGUCGCCCCAACGCAGACGUGAUCGAUGCAUUUGAGGAAGAGAGGCAGGCAUGGUUACGAGGCAACAGUGUGAAAGUGUCACCCCAGUAAGUGCAGUAGAAAGGGAAACUGAAGAGCAACAAAACAGCAGCGGUGUGGCGCUGGGACGACCAUGCUCACGCGGCAGCUGCAGACAUUCUCACGCAACCCCCGGUGGAGGCACCUGAAGCCACUCACAGGAAGCGGUGCAGACGUUUAGGCACCUGCUCCCCGCUCACCGCGGGCAGACCAUGAACACCCGUGUUGCCCGGCC